RNAcentral lists this transfer RNA (72 nucleotides) under Mesocricetus auratus (golden hamster). It matches the Rfam family "tRNA". Rfam says of the family: Transfer RNA (tRNA) molecules are approximately 80 nucleotides in length. Their secondary structure includes four short double-helical elements and three loops (D, anti-codon, and T loops). Lineage: Eukaryota; Metazoa; Chordata; Mammalia; Rodentia; Cricetidae. The record is from Rfam by way of RNAcentral.
GGGACUGUAGCUCAGUGUUAGAGCACUUGCCUAUCAUGCAUGAGAGACCCUAGGUUCAAUUCCCCAGUCCUG